This 233-nucleotide long non-coding RNA is filed under the name Carica papaya (papaya). Its description in RNAcentral is "long non-coding RNA (CPAP_LNC014361)". Lineage: Eukaryota; Viridiplantae; Streptophyta; Magnoliopsida; Brassicales; Caricaceae. The record is from RNAcentral.
UCGAUGCAAUUUUUAUAUCACCGUGAUCACCAUUCUUUUCUCUACAGGUUGACCGGAGCCGAAUCACCAAAACACGAACCUCGUCGGAGAGCCGCUGCACCCGAGAGCGCCGCCGCCGGUAAGCUCCGUUUUUCCGUGAUUUUUUUGCCCCCCGAGGGCCCUAAGGUUGUUUUCUGACAAGGACCAAUGCGAGCGUGGCCGAAUUCGGCCGAAAACGGCCGAAAACAGCCAAC